UAAUACAGAGGGUGCAAGCGUUAAUCGGAAUUACUGGGCGUAAAGGGUGCGUAGGUGGUUUGAUAAGUUGGGUGUGAAAGUCCUGGGCUUAACCUGGGGACUGCGCUCAAUACUGUUAAGCUAGAGUACUGUAGAGGAAGGUGGAAUUUCCAGUGUAGCGGUGAAAUGCGUAGAUAUUGGAAGGAACAUCAGUGGCGAAGGCGACUUUCUGGACAGAUACUGACACUGAGGCACGAAAGCGUGGGGAGCAAACAGGAUUAGAUACCCUGGUAGUCCACGCUGUAAACGAUGAUGACUGGCUGUUGGGUGCCUAGAGCACUUGGUAGCGAAGCAAACGCGUUAAGUCAUCCGCCUGGGGAGUACGGUCGCAAGAUUA
Molecule: ribosomal RNA, 376 nt
Filed under: uncultured bacterium
Lineage: Bacteria
Description: bacterial SSU rRNA
Rfam family: Bacterial small subunit ribosomal RNA
Source: RNAcentral